AACCAUAGGAUCUUUUCUGAAUUUUGCAAUUUUAUGGCUGUUUUUACUUCGGUUUAGAAGGCAACCGGCAACCCAGCUUAGAUCUUAGCUGGGUUGCCUUCUAAACCCAACUCGAGUUUGAUAUAGUUUCAUUUCUUAUAGAGUAGUGACAUGAAGAGUGUGAAGUGAAUAACCUGCAAUGUGUAUGUACAUGUACCAGAUCUGUACAUGAAAACAUAUAUAUAUUAUGUACAUGAGUACAGAUGCAUAAUAGAUGCGCAAACACGAAUGUUAUGAAUUUCGUUUUGGGGUCAAUGGAGUUGGCGCUGGUUGCCGUUACUGGCCUUUUGCGACGUCUUGAUAUCAGUUUACAAUAAUAGCUCUGGACUCUAGGGAAUCCAAACUCAUAUUCGAGGUAACCUUGCAGUCAACAUAUGUGAGGAUUUCUUGAUUCGUUAAAAUUUUUGCAUAUCUUCGUUGUGAUUCUUGCAUGGAAGUCAACCUGCAGAAAGGUCGGCCAGUUUGUCCAGACAGGAUGUCUUUCUCGCUUGAAGGUCACGAGAAACAUUACGUAAAACUGGCAUGCGGUGGUGAAGAGGUUGGGUGAGAAUGACACGUGUUUCAUCAUUAUCAAAGCAGACCCAUCCCCAGCAACGUCUACCUAAAGAAGG
This is a long non-coding RNA of Daphnia pulex (common water flea), 650 nucleotides long. RefSeq lists it as uncharacterized. The record is from RefSeq and is a predicted model, not a curated record. The transcript has 4 exons. NCBI's taxonomy places the organism in Eukaryota, Metazoa, Arthropoda, Branchiopoda, Diplostraca, Daphniidae.